UACGUAGGUCCCGAGCGUUAUCCGGAUUUAUUGGGCGUAAAGCGAGCGCAGGCGGUCAGAUAAGUCUGAAGUUAAAGGCUGUGGCUUAACCAUAGUACGCUUUGGAAACUGUUUAACUUGAGUGCAGAAGGGGAGAGUGGAAUUCCAUGUGUAGCGGUGAAAUGCGUAGAUAUAUGGAGGAACACCGGUGGCGAAAGCGGCUCUCUGGUCUGUAACUGACGCUGAGGCUCGAAAGCGUGGGGAGCAAACAGGAUUAGAUAC
This 261-nucleotide ribosomal RNA is filed under the name uncultured Streptococcaceae bacterium. Its description in RNAcentral is "partial 16S ribosomal RNA". It matches the Rfam family "Bacterial small subunit ribosomal RNA", at positions 524 to 785 of the family's 1533-position model. The record is from RNAcentral. Lineage: Bacteria; Bacillati; Bacillota; Bacilli; Lactobacillales; Streptococcaceae.